This 468-nucleotide ribosomal RNA is filed under the name uncultured bacterium. RNAcentral's name for it is "partial 16S ribosomal RNA". It matches the Rfam family "Bacterial small subunit ribosomal RNA", at positions 28 to 507 of the family's 1533-position model. The record is from RNAcentral.
GACGAACGCUGGCGGCGUGCUUAACACAUGCAAGUCGAACGGAAAGGCCCUGCUUUUGUGGGGUGCUCGAGUGGCGAACGGGUGAGUAACACGUGAGUAACCUGCCCUUGACUUUGGGAUAACUUCAGGAAACUGGGGCUAAUACCGGAUAGGAGCUCCUGCUGCAUGGUGGGGGUUGGAAAGUUUCGGCGGUUGGGGUUGGAUUCGCGGCUUAUCAGCUUGUUGGUGGGGUAGGGGCUUACCAAGGCUUUGACGGGUAGCCGGCAUGAGAGGGUGACCGGCCACAUUGGGACUGAGAUACGGCCCAGACUCCUACGGGAGGCAGCAGUGGGGAAUAUUGCACAAUGGGCGGAAGCCUGAUGCAGCAACGCCGCGUGCGGGAUGACGGCCUUCGGGUUGUAAACCGCUUUCGCCUGUGACGAAGCGUGAGUGACGGUAAUGGGUAAAGAAGCACCGGCUAACUACGUG